CAGCGUACUCUCUGGAGUGACGGGUACACUGUGGGGACCGCCGCUGCUAAAGCGGAGGAAGGAAUGGGCAACGGUAGGUCAGUAUGCCCCGAAUGUCCCGGGCUACACGCGGGCUACAAUGGUUGGUACAAUGGGUAUCUACCCCGAAAGGGGAUGGAAAUCUCCUAAAGCCAAUCUUAGUUCGGAUUGAGGGCUGCAACUCGCCCUCAUGAAGCUGGAAUCCGUAGUAAUCGCGUUUCAAUAGAACGCGGUGAAUACGUCCCUGUCCUUGCACAACCUCCAA
RNAcentral lists this ribosomal RNA (283 nucleotides) under uncultured archaeon. RNAcentral's name for it is "partial 16S ribosomal RNA". It matches the Rfam family "Archaeal small subunit ribosomal RNA", at positions 1068 to 1343 of the family's 1478-position model. The record is from RNAcentral.